GCGGAUGUAGCCAAGUGGAUUAAGGCAGUGGAUUGUGAAUUGAGCAUGCGCGAUGCGCGA
Molecule: transfer RNA, 60 nt
Filed under: Gynochthodes brevipes
Lineage: Eukaryota; Viridiplantae; Streptophyta; Magnoliopsida; Gentianales; Rubiaceae
Description: partial tRNA-His
Source: RNAcentral